GACCAGACUCCUACGGGAGGCAGCAGUGGGGAAUAUUGCACAAUGGGGGAAACCCCGAUGCAGCGACGCCGCGUGAGCGAUGAAGUAUUUCGGUAUGUAAAGCUCUAUCAGCAGGGAAGAAAAUGACGGUACCUGACUAAGAAGCCCCGGCUAACUACGUGCCAGCAGCCGCGGUAAUACGUAGGGGGCAAGCGUUAUCCGGAUUUACUGGGUGUAAAGGGAGCGUAGACGGCAAUGCAAGCCAGAUGUGAAAGCCCGGGGCUCAACCCCGGGACUGCAUUUGGAACUGUGUAGCUGGAGUGUCGGAGAGGCAGGCGGAAUUCCUAGUGUAGCGGUGAAAUGCGUAGAUAUUAGGAGGAACACCAGUGGCGAAGGCGGCCUGCUGGACGAUGACUGACGUUGAGGCUCGAAAGCGUGGGGAGCAAACAGGAUUAGAUACCCGUGUAA
RNAcentral lists this ribosomal RNA (447 nucleotides) under uncultured bacterium. RNAcentral's name for it is "partial 16S ribosomal RNA". It matches the Rfam family "Bacterial small subunit ribosomal RNA", at positions 329 to 793 of the family's 1533-position model. The record is from RNAcentral.